RNAcentral lists this ribosomal RNA (253 nucleotides) under uncultured bacterium. Its description in RNAcentral is "partial 16S ribosomal RNA". It matches the Rfam family "Bacterial small subunit ribosomal RNA", at positions 524 to 776 of the family's 1533-position model. The record is from RNAcentral.
UACGUAGGUGGCAAGCGUUGUCCGGAAUUACUGGGCGUAAAGGGCGCGUAGGCGGUACCCUAAGUCAGAUGUGAAAACCCGGAGCUUAACUUCGGAACUGCAUUUGAAACUGGGGAACUCGAGUGUCGGAGAGGAAAGCGGAAUUCCAAGUGUAGCGGUGAAAUGCGUAGAUAUUUGGAGGAACACCAGUGGCGAAGGCGGCUUUCUGGACGAUAACUGACGCUGAGGCGCGAAAGCGUGGGGAGCAAACAGG